This 1942-nucleotide long non-coding RNA is filed under the name Homo sapiens (human). RNAcentral's name for it is "FMNL1 divergent transcript". Lineage: Eukaryota; Metazoa; Chordata; Mammalia; Primates; Hominidae. The record is from RNAcentral.
CCGCCUCCGGGUCGCACUCACCAGGGCGCGGUUGAACCUCUCCUCCAGCUCUCCGGCCGCGGGCAUCGGCUGCUUGGGAGGCGCGGGCUGCUUGGGGGGCGGCGCGGCGGGGCCCGCGGGCUGCUCGGCGCUGCCGGCCGCGUUGCCCAUGGUGGUCCCCACCCAGCCGGCCAGGCGCCUCCAGCCUCGGAAAUCCAGCUUUCCGGGGGACGGGGACGAGGCUCCCGGCCCGGGCGGGGGCGAGGGGGCAGCGGCUGGCGGUGGCGGCGGGGGUCUCGGCAGCGGGGGGCGCUCGGCUCAGCGGCGCGCAGGGGCCGGAGCGCGGCGUCCCAUCGGGGCGGCCCCGUCCGUGGGACCGGGCGGCGAGCUGCAGGGUUGGGGGAGGAAGUCAGGCUGCAGGCCGCCGGGGCCAGAGGGCUGGGCCGGGGGCAGGAAGCUGCGGCGCUGGCUCCCCCCUCGGCGAUUUUCGAACUUCUGCUGUCGCUCCCCGUGCGCGCAAACCGCAGUUCGCCGCCGCCGCCGCCGGGCACCCAGCCCCAGGGGGGCGGGCUGGAGGGAGGGGGCGGGCGCUGGCCGGGGGACCCCCGCAACCAUGGCGGGCGGGGAGUGGGCUGCCGAGCCGCUUCACCUGCCGCAGAGGGGGCGGCCGGCGCCGCUUCACCUGCCGGAGCGGGAGGCCACCGAGGCGAGGCCGAGGCGGCGGCGCGCUCGGCGGCGCCUCCGGGUCCUAGAACCGCAUCCUCCCGCUCGCCUCGGGCGAGGGAUUGGCCGGGUCUGGGUGAAGGGGAUCACGGCCUGGGGAUUGGAGGGGCACAUCUUCUCCGCACCGAGGAUCUCAGCGACUGCGAGCACGGCUCGGAGACCCACGGUGGUGCAGCGUUGGGGCGCCAGGGCUGCGUUCCCGUCUCGCGUCCCGGACUGAGAAGAGCCACUGACAAGACUUUAAGCAAGAGACGGAGAGUUAACAUCUAAUCUGGAGGAAGACCCUGGAAGGAGCCAGCCCCUUCCCCCAGGCUGACCUGGUUUAAGCCUUUCUUCUGCCAAGGUCACCAGCACCCCAGAUGGGUGAGAGAUGUGAUCACUGGUUUCGUGGCCUGACCAAGGACCUCCAAGGAGGUAUCUUUCCCAUCUUGGCCCACAGAGGAGGAAAUCCUAGAAGGGAUGACUGAAGCUUGGGACUAACACAUUGGUGGAUCUGUGCUACCCCCUGCUGGCCGUAGACGGUAUGACAGCCAAGAUAGGGCAAGGCUUCGAGGGGCGAUGGAUGGAUUCACCGCAGCGGCGACAUUUCUGGACUGUUGUCACCUUCAGUGCAGUCACUGGGAAUAUUCAGAACCCAGACAGAGUCUCACUCUGUUGCCCAGGCGGCUGGAGUGCAGUGGUGUGAUCUCAGCUCACUGCGACCUCCGCUUCCCAGAUUCAAGCAAUUCUCCUGCCUCAGCCUCCUGAGUAGCUGGGACUACAGGUGUGUGCCACCACGUUCAGCUAAUUUUUGUAUUUUUAGUAGAGACGGGGUUUCACCAUGUUGGCCAGGCUGGUCUUGAACUCCUGACCUCAAGUGAUCCACCCGCCUUGGCCUCCCAAAGUGCUGGGAUUACAGGUGUGAGCCACCGCGCCUGGCCUCUUAACAGUUCUAAUGUAUCUUUGCAGAGCUAUUUGGAGCAUAUGCUGUGUAUAUGUGCGUGUGUGUGUGACACAAAUGAUAGCACACGCUCUACACUGUUCAGCACCUGCUAUUUUCAUGUCAUAAUAUACCUGCCUGUAGAUAGUCAACAUAGUUUUCCAUCGUAUGGUGUGUCACAAUUUAUUUACCAUUCCCCUCCUAGUGGAUAUUUAUGUAUGUCCGCCUUUUAUUACUACAAACAAUGCUAAUUACAGGAAAUAUCUUGGUACAUAUAUUUGCAGACAUAUGUGUGUGUGUGAAAUAAAUUUAUAAGUAUGG